RNAcentral lists this ribosomal RNA (832 nucleotides) under Escherichia coli. Its description in RNAcentral is "partial 23S ribosomal RNA". It matches the Rfam family "Bacterial large subunit ribosomal RNA", at positions 397 to 1230 of the family's 2925-position model. The record is from RNAcentral. Lineage: Bacteria; Pseudomonadati; Pseudomonadota; Gammaproteobacteria; Enterobacterales; Enterobacteriaceae.
CUGUGAGCUCGAUGAGUAGGGCGGGACACGUGGUAUCCUGUCUGAAUAUGGGGGGACCAUCCUCCAAGGCUAAAUACUCCUGACUGACCGAUAGUGAACCAGUACCGUGAGGGAAAGGCGAAAAGAACCCCGGCGAGGGGAGUGAAAAAGAACCUGAAACCGUGUACGUACAAGCAGUGGGAGCACGCUUCGGCGUGUGACUGCGUACCUUUUGUAUAAUGGGUCAGCGACUUAUAUUCUGUAGCAAGGUUAACCGAAUAGGGGAGCCGAAGGGAAACCGAGUCUUAACUGGGCGUUAAGUUGCAGGGUAUAGACCCGAAACCCGGUGAUCUAGCCAUGGGCAGGUUGAAGGUUGGGUAACACUAACUGGAGGACCGAACCGACUAAUGUUGAAAAAUUAGCGGAUGACUUGUGGCUGGGGGUGAAAGGCCAAUCAAACCGGGAGAUAGCUGGUUCUCCCCGAAAGCUAUUUAGGUAGCGCCUCGUGAAUUCAUCUCCGGGGGUAGAGCACUGUUUCGGCAAGGGGGUCAUCCCGACUUACCAACCCGAUGCAAACUGCGAAUACCGGAGAAUGUUAUCACGGGAGACACACGGCGGGUGCUAACGUCCGUCGUGAAGAGGGAAACAACCCAGACCGCCAGCUAAGGUCCCAAAGUCAUGGUUAAGUGGGAAACGAUGUGGGAAGGCCCAGACAGCCAGGAUGUUGGCUUAGAAGCAGCCAUCAUUUAAAGAAAGCGUAAUAGCUCACUGGUCGAGUCGGCCUGCGCGGAAGAUGUAACGGGGCUAAACCAUGCACCGAAGCUGCGGCAGCGACACUAUGUGUUGUUGGGUA